GGAUGCGAUCAUACCAGCACUAAAGCACCAGAUCCCAUCAGAACUCCGAAGUUAAGCGUGCUUGGGCGAAAGUAGUACUAGGAUGGGUGACCUCCUGGGAAGUCCUCGUGUUGCAUUCC
RNAcentral lists this ribosomal RNA (119 nucleotides) under Triticum aestivum (bread wheat). Lineage: Eukaryota; Viridiplantae; Streptophyta; Magnoliopsida; Poales; Poaceae. The record is from RNAcentral.